Molecule: long non-coding RNA, 3973 nt
Organism: Hylaeus anthracinus
Lineage: Eukaryota; Metazoa; Arthropoda; Insecta; Hymenoptera; Colletidae
Exons: 5
Source: RefSeq, a predicted model, not a curated record
GAGAAAAUUGCAUAUUUGGUUAACGUUAUUUCACACAGAUUUUGUUACAGAUUAUUUACAUCUCCCAGUAGAUCGAGGGGAAUGUUACUUUUAUCCUCGGAUAAAAUUUUGGUAUUGGAAAGAUUAUUAUACAUCCGUUACAUUCCUGCGAACAUUCUAGUGGAAUUUCAGAAAAUAUUUGCGCCAUUCUAGAUUCCGACCAGUAAAGAAUUCUCGCUUAUCAGAUCUCUAAACGUCGUGUAAACUUGCGUGAUUUAUUUUUUGUUUCUCGACAGAAACAGGUUGCAUGCGUGAACAUUACGUGGAAAGAUAAGAGCCCUUGCUCUAAAAUUCAACGUCGGAUGUGACCGUGGUCGGUGUUCCAAAAAGAUCCUCCAAUUCUAACUCAAAUUUCGCAAUUUCUGGGGGACACGUUUGAGUACAGCUUACUUUGGACGUUAGAAUAAAAUAUUUGUUCGCAUUACUCGAUAGAUUUUGUUUUCCGAUUGCUGUUACUACAACAAAAAGAAUUUCCACUUGUUGCAAGAAGACGCAAUCCGGGCGGCACGUGUACGCAAAUUAGGCUGCCACGCGAGAGUAAACCCGUCGCAGACUCUUUGGCGUCAGUGAACUGGUUGGAAAUAUUUGCGGCGGUAUCGUGGCAUGAGUCAACGGACAGCAGAGACGAUUGCUAAUAAGGUGGCGAAACAACUUCGAGAAACCGGCACGCGCUGAAAAUCGUUAACUUCGGAGAUUCGUGAGACGAAACAGGCUAAAAUCAGGUCAACGCACUGCUUUUUGAACACAGAAUGAUCUUGUUGGUGUUGAACAUUAAUAUCAACAAAUCGUUUCUGGCAACUUUAUGCCAGACUUGGCCAAGUUGGAUACAACAUAAUUGGGACAACGGAUUGGGAGUGAAUUCUUAUUUGCAUCAACGAAUGGGAAUCGAAGCCGUGAAUUUCGAACCAAGUCCACCACGACAUUUCGAGAAAAUCAGUUCUUCUUUAUCUUCUUCAAGUUCUUCGUGAUCUUUUUCAUUCUUCUUGAGAGUAUUGAGAUUACACGUUCACUCUCACUAUCUUUAUAUUCUUAAUGUCAGUUUCGUUGUAGAACUGUGGCAUAAUAAACUUCUUUAACAUGUUGGCCACCAUAUACGGGUGAUAGAGAUUUUUGCUAAAGAGCUUAAGGAAAAAAUUCCAAAGGUGUGAAGUUAAAUAAACUACCUUGAAUAGGAUUCGUGAAUUUUCGAUUUUUUCGAAACAUAUUAGGUCGUCUUAAAAGUUCGAGUCACAUAUUUCUGCUACUUAAAUUAAUAUGUGAAACAUACCCUUAAGUGUUAUAAAAAAAGGUAAUCUUUCGCAUUUAAUAAUAUUUUCGUACCUUUCUGACAUAGUCGUUACAUCGUGGCUAUACGAUUUCUGUAGUUCUUUUUUAUUAAAUAUCGACAUAGACUUUGUCACGAACUUAUAGGAUCACCUAACUGUUUUACUCGCGUGGAAGUUUCCACGAAUAUCAGUCUGGUAGUCAACGUAUUAAAAAAUAUAUAAUUUAAGUUAAUAAAGUUCUAACAGGACUUGAAGAGGAGGUCUGCGUAAGUGCGUAAAAUCUGCAGCAUAUACGAAGGCGAUCUUUUUUCAUUUCACAAUACGCACGCUUUGUUGCAACGGAAAAUCGAUAAGUAGUACUUUUAUUCACAUCGUUCGACGCCGGUUGAUUAUGAAGUAAAACCACUUAAAUUUCACGAUUUUGUUGCGCGUAUUUAGAUCACGUUUGCGGCGGACGACUAAUUACGAGUCUCGGCGAGCCCGAAAGCGUAUAACAUCAUCGCAGUUUCAUCCCAUGGAAUCGGCGGGUCGAGGUUCCUUUUUUAUUUCUCGCGGUUCAUACUUUGCGCCGCGGUUGCGCAACUUACGCCACUUUGUCUUUAACGAUUCUCCGUUCAUAUUCGACGAAUUACGCAUAAUACAGGGCGGGCAACGUGUGAUUUGCAUUCGAAUGAUUGGCGACGACCUGUUAGCGACUUCCUUUCGUUUUUUCCUGUAGAUUCUUUCCCGUUUUCCAUUUCCUUUAGUUCCGACGUUUCUUUCGUCUUUCCUUCAUUCUGCUGGAACGCAUAACGACUGUACAGUGAUGGAAAUUAUACCGAAUUAGUACUGCUGCUUCCACUCUGUAAAUCGCAAUCUAGAAUCAAACUAGGAGAUAUCCAACAAAAUUGUUAUACAUUUGAUAGUCCUAUGAGAGUGUCGAUACACGUUUGAGUCCCCUAAAUGGAAAAUCAAGUCAGUUCUUAAUUUUGUGUCGAAUUUUAAUUAUUGCGUAGAGAACAAAUCUUUUGUUUGGAAAUUCUUUUUCGCUGCACGAUAUUAAGAAUCAUAAAACUGUAAAUUGAACUUUCUUUCGAUACUUUUGCCACUUUCGAAAGUAUUCACGCUGUUCUCAUCCCUAGGACUGUUUCACUGUAUCGAAUAACGUUACGAGCUUCAUUCGAACUAAAUUUUGUACAAAGUUUCAAUGUUUUCUGAAUUUUCUCCAUAAUACUUAUUUUUAAACUUGCAUUAUAAGUUCCAACAUACAUUAUCGUUGUAUCGAAAACUCUUAAACGAUGUAUAUUUAACAGGUAUGUUUUAUUCAGUCAUAAAGAAACAAAUUAUCGGAAUAAAUUCUCUUUGAAUUUACGGUUCAUUAAUAUUGUAUGUUGAAACUUCUGACACAAGUUUGAGAACCGAACAUCGGUUGGAAGCUAUAGCUUUUCUCAUGCGGUUUGUUCCCUUUACUGGCCCGUAAUUAAACUUCACCAUUCUCCCUUUUAGCCGCUGGAUGGCUAUUAAUUAAGAUCUUUCUAACUGCUGAGUUCGAUCCGCAGACUCCGCUUAUAGGAGAUCGUUUCCUUGUAGGCGCGUCCGAAGCAGAAUCUGCUAUGGUUUAACGAAGAGUCCACCAGCAGAUCCAGGACGAAACGCCAUAAUUUUCGCUGUUGCGUCCAAAUGAAACAUGCCUCAUACAUUAUUAAUGCGAGACGAAUGUUUAAGAUUCACAGACAUUAGUUUCGCAUUCCCGUUUCUGAGCGAACGAUCAGCGCAGUUGCUCGUUUAGUAUGUUUGACAUUGUGAACAAUGGACACAAGAAAAUUCGUAAAUGGAACAAAGAGAGAAUUUCUCGGUGACCGAUAAGAGAAAGGUCAGUUAAGAUGGAAUUUUUAAUCUCACGACUGGAAUUAGUACUUGAAAAAUAUUUGGAAAGUGGUUUUUCGUGUAGAGACGAAUAACAAUAGUUGUAGUUACUUCUAAUCGAUAAUGACUAAUAUUUUCGAUGACUCUUUUAUUAGUCAGGUAAUUUUUUAAUUCAUUUCAUGUAUACAGGAUUAUAAGAUGAGCAGUUUAUGAGUAAUCGAAGGUCGCCAAGUUAAGUUAAUCAGUUCGCAUACUGUUGCCGGACAAUGUAUGCAAUGGUUAAUUAUAGUAGUUGGUAAAAUUUAUGCUGUAUAAUGUUCUUGACGUAUUGUGUGCGCCAUAUACAGGAUGGUAAUUUAAUAAAUAUAUGUAUAUCAAAAUUCAAACGCGCCUUUGAAUAUUUUUUAAAAAUUUGCACAAACUUUCUGGACAAUACCAAUAUUAUUUCUCCCUACUGGCAAAAAUUCCAGCAAUUAAUUCUACAAGUGUUCCAAUAGUCUGAGAACGAACAGAAUCCAGCUCGUUUUUUCCUUACACGGAAAAAAAGAAAUUAAAAAGAAAAAAAAAAAAGAUUUCAACUAGAAGGAGGAAAUUAGUCGAUUAUUAAUCGUCGUUCGCGUAAUCGAUGAUACGACGAAUUAUAAAUACUCACAUCCGCGCCGCGAGCUGUCGGAAAGUAAAGUAUCAAAAGAGACAGAACAGGAGUCAUACUAGUCGAUCUGAGGUUCGAGGCGAGUCAGUGGUCCCGAGUAGGUUAUUGGAGCCUUCGGGGCAGAGUUGCACCAUCCGUACAGUUAGACCCCCUUGGGCGAAUCACCGGCCUU